This 431-nucleotide ribosomal RNA is filed under the name uncultured bacterium. Its description in RNAcentral is "bacterial SSU rRNA". It matches the Rfam family "Bacterial small subunit ribosomal RNA", at positions 90 to 518 of the family's 1533-position model. The record is from RNAcentral.
GGCGACCGGCGCGACGGGUGAGUAACGCGUAUGCAACCUACCUAUCAGAGGGGAAUAACCCGGCGAAAGUCGGACUAAUACCGCAUAAAACAGGGGCACCGCAUGGUGAUAUUUGUUAAAGAAAUUCGCUGAUAGAUGGGCAUGCGUUCCAUUAGGUAGUUGGUGAGGUAACGGCUCACCAAGCCGACGAUGGAUAGGGGAACUGAGAGGUUGGUCCCCCACACUGGUACUGAGACACGGACCAGACUCCUACGGGAGGCAGCAGUGAGGAAUAUUGGUCAAUGGGCGGGAGCCUGAACCAGCCAAGUCGCGUGAAGGAAGAAGGAUCUAUGGUUCGUAAACUUCUUUUGCAGGGGAAUAAAGUGCAGGACGUGUCCUGUUUUGUAUGUACCCUGAGAAUAAGGAUCGGCUAACUCCGUGCCAGCCGCCGC